Molecule: ribosomal RNA, 110 nt
Filed under: Armillaria mellea
Lineage: Eukaryota; Fungi; Basidiomycota; Agaricomycetes; Agaricales; Physalacriaceae
Description: partial 5.8S ribosomal RNA
Rfam family: 5.8S ribosomal RNA
About the family: 5.8S ribosomal RNA (5.8S rRNA) is a component of the large subunit of the eukaryotic ribosome. It is transcribed by RNA polymerase I as part of the 45S precursor that also contains 18S and 28S rRNA.
Source: RNAcentral
AGCGAAAUGCGAUAACUAAUGUGAAUUGCAGAAUUCAGUGAAUCAUCGAGUCUUUGAACGCACCUUGCGCCCUUUGGUAUUCCAAAGGGCAUGCCUGUUUGAGUGUCAUU